RNAcentral lists this ribosomal RNA (505 nucleotides) under uncultured bacterium. RNAcentral describes it as "partial 16S ribosomal RNA". It matches the Rfam family "Bacterial small subunit ribosomal RNA", at positions 30 to 523 of the family's 1533-position model. The record is from RNAcentral.
AUUGAACGCUGGCGGCAGGCCUAACACAUGCAAGUCGAACGGUAACAGGAAGCAGCUUGCUGCUUCGCUGACGAGUGGCGGACGGGUGAGUAAUGUCUGGGAAACUGCCUGAUGGAGGGGGAUAACUACUGGAAACGGUAGCUAAUACCGCAUAACGUCGCAAGACCAAAGAGGGGGACCUUCGGGCCUCUUGCCAUCGGAUGUGCCCAGAGGGGAUUAGCUAGUAGGUGGGGUAACGGCUCACCUAGGCGACGAUCCCUAGCUGGUCUGAGAGGAUGACCAGCCACACUGGAACUGAGACACGGUCCAGACUCCUACGGGAGGCAGCAGUGGGGAAUAUUGCACAAUGGGCGCAAGCCUGAUGCAGCCAUGCCGCGUGUAUGAAGAAGGCCUUCGGGUUGUAAAGUACUUUCAGCGGGGAGGAAGGCGAAAGGUUAAUAACCUUGUAGAUUGACGUUACCCGCAGAAGAAGCACCGGCUAACUCCGUGCCAGCAGCCGCGGUAA